AGGCUCACUUGGCAGCGUUUUAGAUUAGCUGAAGCAUCUUCGAUAAAUUGGCUGUCUUCGGCUGUCAGUUUAUUAGCAGCUUAUCAGCUUAGUUGUCAAGAUGGGUGGCUGUUGGUCAUGUGUGGCCUGCAGGGAUGAAGAUGAAGAGGGGGCACUGACAGGUCAUCCCAGAAACCCAACCCAUGUUGCACCAUUUUCUGGGGGACUCCCCAAUGUUUUGGGGGACACUCUGGGGAAAGAGCUCACUGAGGAACCCUUCGUGCCAGAACCUCUUCCAGCACCUUGCAUCACCAACAACAUCCUGGGGGAAGAGCUCACUGAGGAACCCUCCAUGCCAGAACCCCUUCCAGCACCUCGCAUGACCAAUAACAUCCUGGGGGAAGAGCUCACUGAGGAACCGUCCAUGCCAGAACUACUUCCAGUACCUCACAUCACCAACGACAUCCUGGGGGAAGAGCUCACUGAGGAACCCUCCAUGCCAGAACAACUUCCAGCACCUCGUAUCACCAACGAAAUCCUGGAGGAAGAGCUCACUGAGGAACCCUCCAUGCCAGAACCCCUUCCAGCACCUCACAUCACCAAGGACAUCCUGGGGGAAGCGCUCAUUGAGGAACCCUCCAUGCCAGAACCCCUUCCAGCAACUCACAUCACCAAGGACAUCCUGGGGGAAGCACUCAUUGGGGAACCCUCCAUGCCAGAACCCCUUCCAGCACCUUGCAUCACCAACAUCCUGGGGGAAGAGCUCACUGAGAAACCCUCCAUGCCAGAACCACUUCCAGCACCUCGUAUCACCAACGACAUCCUGGGGGAAGAGCUCACUGAGGACCCCUCCAUGACAGAACCCCUUCCAGCACCUUGUAUCACCAACGACAUCCUGGGGGAAGAGCUCACUGAGGAACCCUCCAUGACAGAACCCCUUCCAGCACCUCGCAUCACCAACAACAUCCUCGGCGAAGUGCUCAUUGAGGAACCCUCCGUGCCAGAACCCCUUCCAGCACCUCACAUCACCACCAACAUCCUGGAGGAAGAGCUCACUGAGGAACCCUCCGUGCCAGAACCUCUUCCAGCACAUGGCAUGACCAAUGACAUCCUGGAGGAAGAGCUCACUGAGGAACCCUCCAUGCCAGAACCUCUUCCAGCACCUCGCAUCACCAAUGACAUCCUGGAGGAAGAGCUCAUUGAGGAAACCUCAAUGCCAGAACCCCUUCCAACACCUUGCAUCACCAAUGACCUACUGGGGAAAGUGCUCAUUGAGGAUACCUCAGUGCCAGGUCCUUCCAUCCUCACAGACACUCCAAAGGAAGCAGCUUCUGUGUCAGAGCUUACUAGAGCCUUCCAUUGCUGAUAAUUAUCUUCAGCAAGAAGUAGAACUCCUCAAAGGGUUACAGCAUGACUAUGUCCAGCAGCAACUGAGGGUUCGCCGCAUUUCCCAACAGUUCCCUCGUUCUCUCCUGGCCAUCAACCUGCAAAUUGGACACAUGCGGACAAGGCUCAUCCACAGUGAAGUUCGGCUGCAGCGGUGGCAAAGGGAAGGUAUGUUCACAGCAUGCCCCUGAAAUUGCUGCUGGGCUAAGAACGGCUCUUUUGCUCUGUUUCUUUCAUGAUGAAAUGCUUGAUUUGAGUCUGCAUCUAAGGUUUCAGAGGGGAGGCCUGUGAGUGGGUUGUCAGUGCUGGCUGAAGUGUUCCUUCGUUUUCUGUCUUUCAGGUGUCCAAGCUCCAGUGCCUGUAAUCCAAGCAGCUUCUCAGAGUGAGCAGUGAGGGCAAGUGAUGGUGGGUGUGGUAGGAUGUCAGCCUUUGCAGCUGACCUCCUGCUUCUUCUUCUCUCUUGCAGAUGUUCCUGCAGGCCCUGCUGUACUUCUCCAGCCCUCUGGGUCUGAUUCAUCAUUGUCCUCUGCCUUCCUGGAGGUUGCCUCCAUCCCACCCUCUACAUCCAUCUCUUCCCUCCUCCUGCAUCCCUCUCCACCUCCUCCUCCUUCCCCACCUCCUCUGGAGCCGGACCUCAGCAAUGUGAAAGAAACUCUGCAGAGUUUGGUAGAGAUGCAGGUCCAUCAGCUGCGUGACCGCCAAAGAGACAUCCGCAGCUGCCAGGAAUGCUUACAAAGCUUCAAGGCACUGAGGGGACAAUUGAGGCAGCUAAGGAUCCGACUGGCCAGGGUGGAAGCCACUAUGGGGAUCGUGGUUCCUCCAAGGGAGCUGGACAUUGCUGAGGAAGAAGGGGAAGGCAAAUUAAAAGAGAAAACUGUGCUACUAUUUACAUAAGUAGCAAUAAAAUGCUGUGUAUAUAUUUUUAAAAUAUUAAAUAUUUGUUUUAAUAGGAUGUAGAGAUAGAACAGCAAUAAAACUUGCAUAUUUAUUGUUUAAAUUGUCUUGCUUUGAAUAUUCUUUGGGUAAAGCUGGCCGUAAUCUAUAAGAAUAUGUCAAAUAAAUGUUGGAAAUGUAAGAAAGAAGAGGGUUCCUAUAUACAUAUAUGGUGGACAUGCAAUAAAUUGAGAGGUUAUUGGGACUUAAUAUAUAACGAGCUUAAAAAUAUAUUCAAAAUGACUUUUCCCAAGAGUCCAGAAUCAAUACUAUUAGGUAUUGAUAACAAUGCUCUCCCGAGGAAAUAUUGGACCCUCUUCAUGUACUUAACAGCGGCAGCAAGACUGACAUUUGCGCGCAAAUGGAAAGACAGUCAAUGCCCGUCUAAAGAGGAUUGGAUUCUUAAAGUACUAGAAUUGGCAGAAAUGGCGAAAUUAACAUCACUACUAAGAAAUAAAUUUGAAGAAUUUAAAAAAGAAUGGGACCCUCUUCUUGUCUAUUUAAAAAUACAUCACAAAGUGGAUUUUUGUCAGGCUUUUGAGGGCUAACUACAAAUGUUUCAAAAACACCCCAAAGUUAUUUUCUAUAUGAAUUACUGGGGAGAGAAUGUUUAAUCUAUAGGCAAGAUCCGGUCAUUGUUAACAACACUUGUUCCAAUGAUGAGAUUGAAGUCUUUAUUGUGUGUGUUUGUGAGUGUUUGUAUCAUUUGUGUUUGUCCUUCUGUGUUGUGAAAAUUGAAUAAAAAGU
Molecule: RNA transcript, 3045 nt
Organism: Hemicordylus capensis (graceful crag lizard)
Lineage: Eukaryota; Metazoa; Chordata; Lepidosauria; Squamata; Cordylidae
Gene name: magnetosome-associated protein MamJ-like
Exons: 5
Source: RefSeq, a predicted model, not a curated record